This 2522-nucleotide unclassified non-coding RNA is filed under the name Agrilus planipennis (emerald ash borer). RNAcentral describes it as "alpha-catulin, transcript variant X5". The record is from RNAcentral. Lineage: Eukaryota; Metazoa; Arthropoda; Insecta; Coleoptera; Buprestidae.
AUACAUGUAAACAUAACAGAAGCAGAAUGUAGUGUAGAAAAUGGCUGGUUUAGAUAACUUAAGUUUUGACAAUUUAGAAAUUAAAAUUCGCAGCAUAGAACAAGCUCUUCUUCCUCUUACGAAACAGAUUUCCUCGCUUGUAGAACACAAUGAAAGUAGUAAUGUAGGAGGCAUUUUACGACCGAUGGCGAUUGCCAGGGUUGGCCAGGCUGUGAAUGUUGCUGUUGAACGUUUCGUCACUGUUGGGGAAACCAUCGCGGACGAUUAUGCGGAAGUGCGACAGGGAAUGUUUGAAGCUUGUAAGGAGGCCCGACAAGCCGGAAGUGCAAUAGAAAGGAUUUGCGGAGAGGCGGAAGUUGAGAUUCUAUCCGACAGGACAGUAUUAGUACGUGCCGCUAGAUGUCUACUCGGAGCGGUGACUCGAGUUCUUCUUUUAGCAGACAUAGUCGUAGUCAAGCAAUUGCUAUUAGCAAAAGACAAGGUCCAGCGGAGUCUGGGACGACUGGAGUCAGUGAACAACUUUACGGAGUUCGUGAAAGCUUUCAGUCAGUUCGGUGCUGAAAUGGUGGAAUUGGCGCACUUGACCGGCGACAGGCAGAACGACCUGAAGGAUGAAAGGCGGCGAGCUCAAAUGGCAGCCGCUAGACAGGUCCUCGAACGUUCCACGAUGAUGCUUUUGACUUCGAGCAAGACGUGCCUGCGACAUCCUGAAAGCACGACAGCCAGAGAAAACAGGGACACCGUGUUCUGUCAGAUGCGGAGGGCCAUGGAUCUGAUACAUUACGUGGUCAAAGACGGUGUUCUCAACUGCGUCGAGCCCUAUUCUCAAACUGAUAAUUGUGAAGACUUCGAAGCCGAACGUUCGUCUUUGUGUUCGUAUAUGAAGCGAUUGCAGAGCCUGCUUGAGCUUUGUAGAGUUACCUUAGAUCCUUCUUAUCAAGAUUCUAUACCGGCUGCCUUGGAUGCUAUUUUAGAGCGAACUCAGGAUUUUACAGAUAGUGCCUAUACAAGUCACGAGCAUCGUCAAGCUAUUUUAGAUGGAAUAGACAGGCUGCGGAGCGAGCUCGAUCACUUGCUCGGCUUGUACGCGAACUUGAUGGCAAUCGAGGGCGCAACAAGUUGUCCUGAGCUUGAUUCUUGCGUGUUGGCAACUUUGGCGGAGGCCAAGGACUUGUCUAGAGAAUUGCUCCAGGCUGCCUUACAGCAAGCUCAGGAACUCAGCGCAACCACGAAACAAAGUCAGGAACUUAUUUCAGCCAUUCGACAGCACGCAACUAUUCCAGAUUCCGAUAGACUUCAUCAUACCUCUUGUGCCUUUCAAGAUUCAUUAGAUCACAUAUUAGAGGUAUGUAAGUUACUUAGACACGUAGCAAUGUCGGAGACGCUACAGGUGACCGCUAAAUUUGCCGAAAUUAAUUUACGAGUAUACGGACCUCAGGUAAUUACCGCUGCGAAAACGGUGGCUGCAAAUCCAAAUAGUAAAAUAGCCCAGGAAAAUUUAGAAGUCUUCGCGGACAUGUUUCAGUGGCUUGUUUCGGACGUUUCGGCCGUCGUCAAGGAAGUGCUAGAAUCUGGACAGUGCCGACCUGAAAAACAAACUUACAUGUCGCUGCCUAGACCAGGGAAACAUGGCACAACAUCAAAACCUCUUAAAGCGGUUCGUUUGGACACUGAGGAACAAGAAAAGAUAGCAAAAUCUGGUUUAGAAAUGAAACUAAUGAGUAGUGAAAUGGACGCAGAAACGGAGAAAUGGCAAGAAAGCAACACGCAAAUGGAGGAAAAUAAUGACAUAGUAAAAAGGGCGAAAAACAUGUCUGCGAUGGCCCUGUCCAUGUACCAGUUCACGAAAGGCGAAGGGACGCUAAAGACAACACAAGAUUUGUUUACACAGGCGGAGUACUUUGCUGAAGAAGCGAACAGGUUGUACAAAGUGAUAAGGCAGUUCAGCUAUCAGGAAAUCCAAAUCCCGCACAGGUUGUCGGUUCACCGACCGGUCAGUGGUGGGACAGUUACAACAUCAGUUGGACAGUGGAUUCUUUAUCGCCGAUUGAAAACUAUUGUUUAGGCGAUUACCAAAAGGAGCAAAUGGUCAAGACAAUCAUGGAAGACCUCUUCAACACCUCGCCACAAGAAAGAAGGGUUGAUCAAAUUCGUAUGUAAUCGCUACAGCAACAUGUCACAGUCAAGGAUGUUAAAACAUGGAGACCAGAGAUACUAUCCAAUAAUUUGACGAAGUUGAUCCACUAAUGAAGUAACAAUGAUUGUUGGUGUAAUUUGAACAACGCAUUAUUAAGGGGUGAAAUUGAUGGGAAAUCUUAACAGCAACGUUCAUCUUGCGGUUCCGCUCAACAUUUGAUGGGAAUGUUGGAAAACUAGAUCCAAAAUAUACGUUGUACAUCGAAUAUGAGACAAGCCUUCACACAACUUACCAAGUACUUCGAGGGUGUGCGUGAUUUCGCGUGGUUCCAGAGUUCCUAUUUGACACACGUAAUCGCCAGCGUCUUGGGGUCCCACCUCCUCAA